CUCAGGACGAACGCUGGCGGCGUGCUUAACACAUGCAAGUCGAACGAUGAAGCCCAGCUUGCUGGGUGGAUUAGUGGCGAACGGGUGAGUAAUACGUGAGUAACCUGCCUUUAACUCUGGGAUAAGCCUUGGAAACGAGGUCUAAUACCGGAUACGACCAGUUCCCGCAUGGGAUGCUGGUGGAAAGGGUUUGUACUGGUUUUAGAUGGGCUCACGGCCUAUCAGCUUGUUGGUGAGGUAACGGCUCACCAAGGCGACGACGGGUAGCCGGCCUGAGAGGGUGACCGGCCACACUGGGACUGAGACACGGCCCAGACUCCUACGGGAGGCAGCAGUGGGGAAUAUUGCACAAUGGGCGCAAGCCUGAUGCAGCGACGCCGCGUGAGGGAUGAAUGCCUUCGGGUUGUAAACCUUCUUUCAGC
This 422-nucleotide ribosomal RNA is filed under the name Rothia nasimurium. RNAcentral's name for it is "bacterial SSU rRNA". It matches the Rfam family "Bacterial small subunit ribosomal RNA", at positions 23 to 441 of the family's 1533-position model. Lineage: Bacteria; Bacillati; Actinomycetota; Actinomycetes; Micrococcales; Micrococcaceae. The record is from RNAcentral.